This 508-nucleotide ribosomal RNA is filed under the name Lactiplantibacillus plantarum. RNAcentral describes it as "bacterial SSU rRNA". It matches the Rfam family "Bacterial small subunit ribosomal RNA", at positions 84 to 578 of the family's 1533-position model. Lineage: Bacteria; Bacillati; Bacillota; Bacilli; Lactobacillales; Lactobacillaceae. The record is from RNAcentral.
CAUUUGAGUGAGUGGCGAACUGGUGAGUAACACGUGGGAAACCUGCCCAGAAGCGGGGGAUAACACCUGGAAACAGAUGCUAAUACCGCAUAACAACUUGGACCGCAUGGUCCGAGCUUGAAAGAUGGCUUCGGCUAUCACUUUUGGAUGGUCCCGCGGCGUAUUAGCUAGAUGGUGGGGUAACGGCUCACCAUGGCAAUGAUACGUAGCCGACCUGAGAGGGUAAUCGGCCACAUUGGGACUGAGACACGGCCCAAACUCCUACGGGAGGCAGCAGUAGGGAAUCUUCCACAAUGGACGAAAGUCUGAUGGAGCAACGCCGCGUGAGUGAAGAAGGGUUUCGGCUCGUAAAACUCUGUUGUUAAAGAAGAACAUAUCUGAGAGUAACUGUUCAGGUAUUGACGGUAUUUAACCAGAAAGCCACGGCUAACUACGUGCCAGCAGCCGCGGUAAUACGUAGGUGGCAAGCGUUGUCCGGAUUUAUUGGGCGUAAAGCGAGCGCAGGCGG